This 460-nucleotide ribosomal RNA is filed under the name uncultured bacterium. RNAcentral describes it as "partial 16S ribosomal RNA". It matches the Rfam family "Bacterial small subunit ribosomal RNA", at positions 338 to 795 of the family's 1533-position model. The record is from RNAcentral.
CCUACGGGAGGCUGCAGUGAGGAAUAUUGGUCAAUGGGCGGGAGCCUGAACCAGCCAAGUCGCGUGAGGGAAGACGGUCCUAUGGAUUGUAAACCUCUUUAGGCGGGGAGCAAUGCCGGGCACGUGUGCCCGGAGGGAGAGUACCCGAAGAAUAAGCAUCGGCUAACUCCGUGCCAGCAGCCGCGGUAAUACGGAGGAUGCGAGCGUUAUCCGGAUUGAUUGGGUUUAAGGGGUGCGUAGGCGGAUUUUUAAGUCAGCGGUAAAAUGUCCGGGCUCAACCCGGGCCGGCCGUUGAAACUGGGGAUCUUGAGUGGGCGAGAAGUAUGCGGAAUGCGUGGUGUAGCGGUGAAAUGCAUAGAUAUCACGCAGAACUCCGAUUGCGAAGGCAGCAUACCGGCGCCCGACUGACGCUGAGGCACGAAAGCGUGGGGAUCGAACAGGAUUAGAUACCCCUGUAGUC